AAUAAAGAUGGAUUUUUUU
RNAcentral lists this small nuclear RNA (19 nucleotides) under Arabidopsis thaliana (thale cress). RNAcentral describes it as "snRNA_01792". The record is from RNAcentral. Lineage: Eukaryota; Viridiplantae; Streptophyta; Magnoliopsida; Brassicales; Brassicaceae.